This 465-nucleotide unclassified non-coding RNA is filed under the name uncultured Russula. RNAcentral's name for it is "sequence contains ITS2". The stretch from base 33 to 186 matches the Rfam family "5.8S ribosomal RNA". The record is from RNAcentral. Lineage: Eukaryota; Fungi; Basidiomycota; Agaricomycetes; Russulales; Russulaceae.
AACUUUUAGCAACGGAUCACAUGUGCUGCUCGAACUUUUAGCAACGGAUCACUUGGCUCUCGCAUCGAUGAAGAACGCAGCGAAAUGCGAUACGUAAUGUGAAUUGCAGAAUUCAGUGAAUCAUCGAAUCUUUGAACACACCUUGCGCCCCUUGGAAUUCCGAGGGGCACACCCGUUUGAGUGUCGUGAACAUCCUUCAACCUUUCUUGGUUUCUUAACCAGGGAAGGCUUGGACUUUGGGGGUCUUUCAUUGCUGGCCUCUUUGAAGCCAGCUCCUCCUAAAUGGAUUAGUGUGGUCUGCUUUGCCGAUCCUUGACGUGAUAAGAUGUUUCUACAUCUUGGGUUUCGCACUGUCGCUUUAGACCCUGCUUCUAACUGUCUUGCAUUCAAGACAGAGUUUUAAACCUUGACCUCAAAUCGGGUGAGACUACCCACUGAACUUAAGCAUAUCAAUAAGCGGAGGCU